GAUGAAUGCUGGCGGCGUGGAUGAGGCAUGCAAGUCGAAUGGGUUUAGACCCAUGGCAGACGAGGUAGGAACACGUAGGUACGUGCCCAAGAGUCAGGGAUACUCCGGUGAAAAUCGGCAUAAUACUUGAUGGUCCCUUCGGGGUAAAGAUUUAUCGCUCUUGGAACGGCCUGCGGGCUAUCAGCUUGUUGGUAAGGUAACGGCUUACCAAGGCUACGACGGCUAGGGGAGGUGAGAGCCUGACCCCCACCGAUGGAACUGAGACACGGUCCAU
RNAcentral lists this ribosomal RNA (274 nucleotides) under uncultured bacterium. RNAcentral's name for it is "partial 16S ribosomal RNA". It matches the Rfam family "Bacterial small subunit ribosomal RNA", at positions 28 to 334 of the family's 1533-position model. The record is from RNAcentral.